Molecule: ribosomal RNA, 469 nt
Filed under: uncultured bacterium
Lineage: Bacteria
Description: partial 16S ribosomal RNA
Rfam family: Bacterial small subunit ribosomal RNA
Source: RNAcentral
GACGAACGCUGGCGGCGUGCUUAACACAUGCAAGUCGAACGGAAAGGCCCUGCUUGCAGGGUGCUCGAGUGGCGAACGGGUGAGUAACACGUGGGUGAUCUGCCCCUUACUUUGGUAUAAGCCUGGGAAACUGGGUCUAAUACUGGAUAGGACCAUGCUGUAGGUGGUGUGGUGGAAAGAUUAGUUUCGGUAAGGGAUGAGCUCGCGGCCUAUCAGCUUGUUGGUGGGGUAACGGCCUACCAAGGCGUCGACGGGUAGCCGGCCUGAGAGGGUGGACGGCCACAUUGGGACUGAGAUACGGCCCAGACUCCUACGGGAGGCAGCAGUGGGGAAUAUUGCACAAUGGGCGCAAGCCUGAUGCAGCGACGCCGCGUGGGGGAUGACGGCCUUCGGGUUGUAAACUCCUUUCAGCCAUGACGAAGCCCUUGUGGUGACGGUAGUGGUAGAAGAAGCACCGGCUAACUACGUG